RNAcentral lists this transfer RNA (99 nucleotides) under Nitrospirota bacterium. RNAcentral describes it as "Nitrospirae bacterium (sediment metagenome) tRNA-Ser". Lineage: Bacteria; Pseudomonadati; Nitrospirota. The record is from RNAcentral.
GGAUCUGUAGCUCAGUUGGGAGAGCGAUUAAAUGGAACUUAAUAUGGCGUUAGUUCGAUUGUGGGCCAAGACAAACCGGGGCGGGACUAAUCAAAGUCG